AACGAACGCUGGCGGCAUGCCUAACACAUGCAAGUCGAACGAGAUCUUCGGGUCUAGUGGCGCACGGGUGCGUAACGCGUGGGAAUCUGCCCUUUGGUUCGGAAUAACAGUUGGAAACGACUGCUAAUACCGGAUGAUGACGAAAUUCCAAAGAUUUAUCGCCAGAGGAUGAGCCCGCGUAGGAUUAGCUAGUUGGUGUGGUAAAGGCGCACCAGGGCGACGAUCCUUAGCUGGUCUGAGAGGAGGAUCAGCCACACUGGGACUGAGACACGGCCCAGACUCCUACGGGAGGCAGCGGUGGGGAAUAUUGGACAAUGGGCGAAAGCCUGAUCCAGCAAUGCCGCGUGAGUGAUGAAGGCCUUAGGGUUGUAAAGCUCUUUUACCCGGGAUGAUAAUGACAGUACCGGGAGAAUAGGCUCCGGCUAACUCCGUGCCAGCCGCCGCAGUAA
Molecule: ribosomal RNA, 449 nt
Filed under: uncultured bacterium
Lineage: Bacteria
Description: partial 16S ribosomal RNA
Rfam family: Bacterial small subunit ribosomal RNA
Source: RNAcentral